CAGAGCUGGUGGAGAGACAGAGAGCAUACCACUGGAUAAAUUCAUAGACAUGGAAUUCCUGGACCAAAUGGUCACCAAUUGUUUGCGCAUCAUUUCUUGAGUAAUCCAACCUUCUUCCACUGAUCUGAAAUGGCAACGACUCUUCUCCUAUUAGACAGGGUGUAGCUUUCCACAGGUCGGCCAUUUUCUCUUUACUCAAGAUGGUUACAUUCCGUAAUAGUCUCCCCACCUUCUUGCAGCUUCUGGAAGCAUACUAAAGCAUCAUGUUUGUGCUUAUGCGUUUCAAAAAUUCCAUGUACAUACAGUUUAGGCCAGUGGUUUUGAAACAAAAUUCUUUUCAUUUUAAAUAUUUAAAAAUUGUAUUUUUGUUGCAUGCUUGAUACAAAUUAAAGCUGAGGAAUCCAAAUAUAUAAAAAUCAC
This is a long non-coding RNA of Nycticebus coucang (slow loris), 420 nucleotides long. RefSeq lists it as uncharacterized. The record is from RefSeq and is a predicted model, not a curated record. The transcript has 3 exons. Lineage: Eukaryota; Metazoa; Chordata; Mammalia; Primates; Lorisidae.